This 29-nucleotide non-coding RNA is filed under the name Rattus norvegicus (Norway rat). The record is from RNAcentral. Lineage: Eukaryota; Metazoa; Chordata; Mammalia; Rodentia; Muridae.
UGGUGGUUACAGCCAGGCAAGGCUGAUUU